Molecule: ribosomal RNA, 556 nt
Filed under: Candidatus Kaiserbacteria bacterium
Lineage: Bacteria; Candidatus Kaiseribacteriota
Description: partial 23S ribosomal RNA
Rfam family: Bacterial large subunit ribosomal RNA
Source: RNAcentral
CUUACAGGAACAAAGGGUGUAUGGUGGAUGCCUUGGCUUCAAGAAGCGAUGAAGGACGUGAUAUGGCUGCGAUAAGUUUCGGGGAGGUGCCAAAUAACCUUUGAUCCGGAAAUGUCCCAAUGGGGAAACCCUACUACUUUCAGUAGUAACCCUUGUAUGAGGGGGCGUACCUAGGGAAGUGAAACAUCUCAGUACCUAGAGGAAUAGAAAGCAAUAGACGGAAAUUUCUUUUUGAGCGGAUGCUUUGCAUCAGCUCAUUGAGCAUGGUGCUUUGCGCCAUUACGCUCAAGAAGAAGGUUCUUGCGAUUCCCGGAGUAGCGGCGAGCGAAAGGGGAAUAGCCCAAAUCCUGCACCUUUUAAGGUGCAGGAGGUUGUAGGGCGGAAUCUGCAUUUAGUUGCAGAGAGUUACAAAACAGAUAUAUAGGAAAACACGUUGGGAAGCGUGACCCCAGUAGGUAAUAGUCCUGUAUUCGAAAUGUAUCUGACUCUCUUGGUUCCGUUCCUGAGUAGCGCGGGACAUGAAUAGCCCGUGUGAAUCCACCAGUACUAACUGGUA